Molecule: transfer RNA, 73 nt
Filed under: Stegodyphus mimosarum
Lineage: Eukaryota; Metazoa; Arthropoda; Arachnida; Araneae; Eresidae
Rfam family: tRNA
About the family: Transfer RNA (tRNA) molecules are approximately 80 nucleotides in length. Their secondary structure includes four short double-helical elements and three loops (D, anti-codon, and T loops).
Source: Rfam by way of RNAcentral
GCCUUCGUGGUGCAAUGGUCAGCACGCUCGGCGCGUAUUCGAGAAGUCCGUGGUUCGAGUCCCGGCGAGGGCA